Long non-coding RNA from Ictalurus punctatus (channel catfish), 2091 nucleotides. The record is from Ensembl. Lineage: Eukaryota; Metazoa; Chordata; Actinopteri; Siluriformes; Ictaluridae.
CACUGUCAUUUACACUUACACACACACACACACACACACACACACACACACACACACACACAUGCUAUCUCUUCAAGAAUGAAAAAAAAAAGAUCUAGUUCCUGACUUGAGGCAAAUGUUUGUUGGAAUAAGUGGUGAUUUCCUGGUCGUGCAUUAAAGGGAGAUGAGACUUCUUUUAACCGGAGUGUUAAUCCAGCAGCGGAUGAGACGCAGCACGGAGCACGCAGAAGUAAAAAACAGGAAGAGUGACGGAGUGUAUAGGUGCGAGCAGUGACAUUAGGAAUGUCUCCUCUGGUUUUAAUGCACCGUUGCCCGUCGGUGGAGGAUGCAGGCUAAAGCUCGGCACACAUGAAGCCCAUUUACCGUCAUCCUCGCAUCUGUUCUCACUAAUCCCCUCCAGACGUAACAAUAUGUUCUCCAAUAAGAUUAUGAUUGCUCAAUAAGCCUUAUCUAUGUAAUUCAGAAAACAUAUACCGCUUUAAACCAGCUCGCUAGAUUAGAGCAGUUUGGAGCUAAUCUGGAGUCAGUCUGGAGUCAAUCUGUGCUGCUGGGGGGGGAGGAGGGGGGAGGGGGAAUUAUUUUAAUCUGGGUGGAAAUAAUCCUGUGAUUCCCCCUCAGUCUGUUUUGUUUUAUUCCGAGCCCGAGUGUGUGAGUUGAUUUAACGUCAUACUAAUCCUCCAGUCGCUGUCUGGCUGAGGCUCGAGACACCCCGGGAGUUUGAAGCGUGUGUAAUUUACACGCACGCUGUUAUUAAUGAAAUCAGCACUUGAAUUGAUUAGACAAGCAGAUUAUGAUGAUGUGAGCGUGAGCAGAUUACUGUAUUGACUGCGUCUUGUUUAAUAAAGGUGUAAUCACAGCGUAAUUAAGCGCACUAUUUACAGCUUAUUAUAAGAGUUAGGUACAUCCGAGGUUUAAUAGAUAAUUGAACACUGGUGUGGUUUUUUUUUUUAUUCAUUUGGAUGUGGAUGAACGAAGCUGGUUUGAUGUUUAUUGAAAACAUGUCUAAAGCUCCAAGGAUAAAUUUUGCCAAUAAAAUGCCAAUGCUAAUAAAAUGUGACGGAAAAUAAACAAACUAUGAACGAUACUACACGAGUGUAGACUCAUGAACAAAUUUUAAACUAGAACCUUUAAGGGUUCUUCGGUUAGCCGCGGAGGAGACGGGGAUGUUAAGGUUCCACGAAGAAACCUAUCGGGGGAAGGGCCGAGUGACAGCCUGAGGACGCCGAGGACCCUAUCCGAGCUAUCCAAGAACCCCUGUGGAACCUUUUAUUUAAUGAGAGAAAGAGAGAAAGAGAGAAACUAGCAAAAGAAAGAAUGAAAGUUACGAGGAAAUGAAAGAAAGAAAGAAACUAACCAGCCAACUAACUAAAGAAAGGAAAAAAUGAAUGUCAUACGCUUACAAGGAAAAGAAAGAAAGAGAGAAUUUAUGUAACAAAAGAAAGAAUGAACGUUACAAGGAAAUGAAAGAAAGAAACAAAGAAAACAUGACAAGUGGGAAAAAAAUGGGAAGGUGGAAUAAAAAAUGAAAAAUAAAGGAAGUAAGAAUUUUAGUUCUAUAAUAUUUCAUUUAUUAUUAUUAUUAUUAUUAUUAUUAUUAUUAUUAUUAUUAUACACAUUUUUACAAGAAAGGAAAAAAUGAAAAAUCUAAGAAAAUAAACUGGAGAAUUUCCUCAUCACGUUGUGUUACUAUUGUGUUCGUGUUGUGUUCAUGUUGUGUUACUGUUGUGUUCAUGUUGUGUUCGCAGUAUGCGUUCAUGUUGUGUUGGUGUUGUGUUACUGUUGUGUUCAUGUUGUGUUUGCAGUAUGUGUUCAUGUUGUGUUCGUGUUGUGUUCAUUAUGUGUUCAUGUUGUGUUCGUGUUGUGUUCGUGUUGUGUUCCUGUUGUGUUCCUUAUGUUUUCAUGUUGUGUUCAUGUUGUGUUACUGUUGUGUUCGUGUUGUUUGUGUUGUGUUCAUGUUGUGUUUGCAGUAUGUGUUCAUGUUGUGUUCGUGUUGUGUUCCUGUUGUGCUCGUGUUGUGUUUGCAGUAUGUGUUCAUGUUGUGUUCAUGUUGUGUUCAUGUUGUGUUCAUGUUGUGUUCGUGUUGUGUUCAUG